GUGCUUGCUUCAACAGCACAUUUACAAAAAUUGGAAUGAUACACAAAAGAUCAACAUGGCCCUUGCAUAAAUAUCACAUACAACUGAGUGAAACUAUCUAUAUAAAU
Molecule: small nuclear RNA, 107 nt
Organism: Ictidomys tridecemlineatus (thirteen-lined ground squirrel)
Lineage: Eukaryota; Metazoa; Chordata; Mammalia; Rodentia; Sciuridae
Source: Ensembl